CUCUUUGACUGACCACUAAUUAACUAAGGAUCAAAGACAAGACCGCGUGAUGACGUAAACCAGAUCAGUUGUGAUCGUUUGUGUGUUUUUACUUUAAUCGCAGUCAAAAUCGUUCCAGACUCCAACGGAUGUUUUCACCAUUUUAGAAACAAAGUGUCGGCAUUAUUGUUUCCUUUAGAUGUUGAAACCCCGCCCCUUAAGAAGAGCCUGUGGUUCUUAUUGGGCAUUUUGAGAAAAUCGGUUGGGCGAAGGCCGCUGAUUGGUUCGUUUACAAUACAUGACGUCACCGUGGCCGGGAUCUGGGCGUUGGACCGGGCUGCAUCUUCAUCCCUGAAAUGGUUUUCUCCGCGGCGGGGAUUUAACUCUGCACGAAGCCCAAACUCCAGAUUUCUGUCUUGGUUCCGCGCCUUCUGUCUGAGCUUCAGCCUUCAAAACCAUCCGAGAUCUUCCUCUGAACGACAGCGGGGUCUACAGUGAAGCGCGCGCUCGGAGCUCUUUGUGUCUGCCUUGGGUUCUUUGUUAGAGAGAGAGAGAGAGUUAGUGAGAGAGAGAGAGAGAGAGAGAGUUAGUGAGAGAGAGAGAGAGAGAGAGAGAGAAAUAUGGGAGCGCAGGCAUCUAAAGCGGAGAACCCCGGAGGAGCCGAGACGACAGUGGGGUCUCCUUCUAAAGCCAACGGACAGGAAAAUGGCCACAUGAAGAUAAAUGGUGACGCAGCAGAGGUGAACGAGGAGGUGCAAGCUAACGGCAGCACUGCAGCUGAGGGAGAGCAGGAGGGGAAGGAGGAGGGUGGAGACAAAGCUGAGGCCACAUCCAUUGAGAAAGAGGGAGAAGAUGAAGAAAAAGAAAAGGUGGCUGCAGAUGAAACCGUUGCAGCAGCAGCUGCUGAGGAUGAGAAACCGUCUGCCAGUGAAGAGACACCGAAGAAGAAGAAGAAGCGCUUUUCAUUAAAAAAGUCCUUGAAGCUGAGUGGAUUCUCCUUCAAGAAAAACAAGAAAGAGACUGGUGAUGCAGGAGAGCAGGAGGAGCAGAAGAAAGAGGGAGGGGAGGAGAAAAAAACUGAUGGAGAGGAGGAAAUAAGGAAAGAGGAGGAAGAAGGUGAAGCUGUAGCAGUUGAGGAGGAGAAAAAAGAAUCGGAGGAAGUGGAGAAAAGGAAGAGGUGAAGGAAGACGAGAAGGUGGAGGAACCAAAGGCAGACGAGAAGGUGGAGGAACCAAAGGCAGACGAGAAGGUGGAGGAACCAAAGGCAGACGAGAAGGUGGAGGAACCAAAGGCAGACGAAGGUGGAGGAACCAAAGGCAGACGAGAAGGUGGAGGAACCAAAGGCAGACGAGAAGGUGGAGCAAAAAGAGGAGAAACCAGAGGAGGAUAAAAAGACGAUUAAGGAGGAAGUGAAGCAAGAGGAGGAACAUGCUGUAGCUGCAGCACCUGUCCAGCAGGAGGCACCGAGCAAAGACGACACAGAGGAAGUGGCUCCAGUUGAACAAGAAACAGCGCCUACUGAGUCUGAAGCUGGAGCAGCCGAGUAAAAAAACACACACACACACACACACACACACACGUGGCAUGACCUAGUUUGUUUGCUGGUCAGUGGGGCGGAGCCAAAUGUAAUCAGCCAAUCACAAGCUUCAUGUAGUGACAUCAUCACUAGCGCUGCACUAAUUGGUCAAAGACAUAAGAAGAGAGAUCAGUGAUGUCACAUGAUCAGUUGUUCUGAUUGGCUGAGUACAUUUGGCUUAAGCGCCGCCCCUUUGACCCUCCAACACUGUGAUAUGCAGGAGAAAAUAAACAAACCACGGCUGUGAAAUCUCACACACACACACACACACACACGUGUGUUUUCCUACAACAAGACAUUUACAAAUUAGUUUUUUUUUUUUUAUUGGCCUCUCUCUUCUCUAACAAGUGGGCGGGGCUUUCCCGGGUUUUUAAAUUAAUAAUACUCUCCCUUUUUUAUGCUCAGUAUUAACUGUUUUAUUUUUAUACAAAAAAGUACAGAAUUAAGGACACACCCAGGGGAGGAGUCUGGGGGGAAAUGGGGUCAAAUUAAAGUAAUUGAUAAACACUAAAGUGAUUUUAAUGCUUUAAAUCCCAGCUGUUUUUUUUAUAGUGUGUGUGUGUGUGUGUGUGUGUGUGUGUGUGUGUGUGUGUGUGUGUGUGAGAGAGAGAGAGAGAGAGAGAGAGAUGAAUUGAAUUGUGUAAUUAUGUACAGGAGGGAGGGUUAAAACUGUGAUUAUUGUACAAACAGUACUGAAGCGAGAUGGAGGAAGUGCAGCUCCUCACAACCAGACUUGAGAUUUUUGUAAAAUAAAAAAGAAACAAAUUUACAUUCAUCCGAAAGGAUUUUUUAAAAUGCAAGCUGUGACUCUUUCUACUGUGGGUUUCCUCUUUUAAACUGAUCUGUAGCAUUUUUUUCCCUCUCUAUCACUGUUUUUUUUCCACUUUGUAAAUACUGGAGAAGGGUUUUUCCAGAGGUUUCAGAUGGAAUGGAGUUUGGACUUCCUGCAGGUUUGAGGUGUUUGGGUUUCUGUCGACACACUAAAGCUAAAUAAAUGUUCAUUUCCAACCCA
RNA transcript from Silurus meridionalis, 2567 nucleotides. It is a transcript of the gene named myristoylated alanine-rich protein kinase C substrate a, with no coding region annotated. The record is from RefSeq and is a predicted model, not a curated record. The transcript is spliced from 3 exons. Lineage: Eukaryota; Metazoa; Chordata; Actinopteri; Siluriformes; Siluridae.